RNAcentral lists this RNase P RNA (328 nucleotides) under Bacteroidales bacterium. RNAcentral describes it as "RNase P RNA component class A". It matches the Rfam family "Bacterial RNase P class A". From Rfam's summary of the family: Ribonuclease P (RNase P) is a ubiquitous endoribonuclease, found in archaea, bacteria and eukarya as well as chloroplasts and mitochondria. Its best characterised activity is the generation of mature 5'-ends of tRNAs by cleaving the 5'-leader elements of precursor-tRNAs. Cellular RNase Ps are ribonucleoproteins. The record is from RNAcentral. Lineage: Bacteria; Pseudomonadati; Bacteroidota; Bacteroidia; Bacteroidales.
CGAGUAGGUCAGUCUAUCGCGUUACCGCAAGGUAAUGAGGAAAGUCCGGACAGCACAGGGCGUUGCGCUCUUGAAAUAAGAGAAGUCUGCGAAGGUUUGGCAGCGGAGAAGAGAACGACUUCCUUGGCAACAAGGUAAAGGUGAGAAGGUGGGGUAAGAGCCCACCGGUGGCGGUGGCGACACCGUCAGCCGUCCGUCCCGCAAGCUGCAAGUUCAUGUAUAUCGGCGUUAUAGGGUUGCCCGCCCGAGCCGAGGGGUAGAAUGCACAGAUAAAUGAUAGACAGCAUCACACGAUGCCACAGAAUUCGGCUUACGGCCUGCUCGUUUU